This 1013-nucleotide long non-coding RNA is filed under the name Coturnix japonica (Japanese quail). Its description in RNAcentral is "lncRNA (ENSCJPG00005009870.1)". Lineage: Eukaryota; Metazoa; Chordata; Aves; Galliformes; Phasianidae. The record is from RNAcentral.
UAGGAUUACCAUACAAAACCCAAGAAUCCUUGACUUUAAUAUUGAUUUAGACACAGCUUAUUCAUUAGACAAAUUUUUCAGACCUAAUUUUUCCUUCCUUGCAUUUCUGUAGAACUAAACACUGUAAUUUAGUCAAUGUAAUGGAUUUUUUUGGGGAGGGUGAUUACACUUAAGCAAAGAACCUAUUCAUGCUUACAUUGAAAAACACUCCAGAAGUCAGAAAAAAUCAUAUUUUUUCAGUGAAAUACAUAUUGUACAUAAUCACAAAAUACUAGGCUAUUAUAAGAUGAGCCAUUACAAGCAUGAAUAUAUGAGACAGAAAUCCCUUAGCACAAAUAUUUUUUACCAUUACAAACACUUUACAUUAGCUGCCCACCGAUUUUUUCCAUCCUGACAAACUUGUUUUAAUAGACUGCACAGUUCCCACCUCAUUUACUUAUCCACUGAAAUGAAAUGAAGAAGAAUUUAAAGGCCAGUAAUCUUUGAAAAUAUAGUUUACUGAAUUUAUUGCUGUUUUAAAUAAAAUGAAAUUAAAGAACCCUGUUCCUUGUUUUGAUUUCUGUUGAUCAUGAUACCAUGCACACAGUCACAAGAAGAACUUUUCCUGUCACAGGUGUUAUCACAUGAGGACACAAGGUUUCAUCUUAUUCAGUUUUUGAAGAAACAGAUCUUCAAAACCAGGACAGAAUAUGUCAAUCCAAUCAGCAAGUCAGUUUUUUCGCACCUGUACUGUACAAGCCACCUGUGAAGUUCUGCCUGUACCACUGAAUUUAAAAAGCAAAGGAUCUUCAGGAGUUUUUAUCUCUGCAUGGCUCUGGGUAGGGAUUUGAACAAAAAGGAAAACUGCAAAAGGAAAUUGGUUUGGACAAGAAGAGUUUCUAUACAUAACUCAUUAAUUUGAGGAUAAAGUGCAGUCUCUUAGAAACAAACAAAACAAAACAAAAACAAAAACAAACAAACAAAAAAACACAAAGCAAAAUAAAACAAAACAAAAAAAAAAAUGACCUGUGUAA